CCAAGAUGUGAGCACAAUUCUCAAAUUCAGCUCCUGCCAUGUGCCGUGAUGAUCAAAAAAAAGAACAGGAUAUCCCCCUUUCAAAGGAAUCUCAGAGAACACUCGAAGCACCAAUUACUACAAGGCAAUUAUAAACAAGAACUGAUUGAUGGUUACAAAAACUUAGAAUUUAACGGAUCUCAUGGAAGCACUAUUUCAAAAAUGUCAUAACAAUAAAUAAAUAAACAUCGAAGUUGUAUAUUU
This is a long non-coding RNA of Leptinotarsa decemlineata (Colorado potato beetle), 243 nucleotides long. RefSeq lists it as uncharacterized. NCBI's taxonomy places the organism in Eukaryota, Metazoa, Arthropoda, Insecta, Coleoptera, Chrysomelidae. The record is from RefSeq and is a predicted model, not a curated record.